This 488-nucleotide ribosomal RNA is filed under the name uncultured bacterium. RNAcentral describes it as "partial 16S ribosomal RNA". It matches the Rfam family "Bacterial small subunit ribosomal RNA", at positions 28 to 507 of the family's 1533-position model. The record is from RNAcentral.
GACGAACGCUGGCGGCGUGCUUAACACAUGCAAGUCGAACGCGCCUGUCCUCUGGGUUUCUGGGGGGUGGGUGAGUGGCGAACGGGUGAGCAACACGUGAGUAACCUGCCCCCUUCUUCGGGAUAACGGUCUGAAAGGGCUGCUAAUACCGGGUAUUCACUGGUCUCCGCAUGGGGUCUGGUGGAAAGGUUUUUUUCUGGUGGGGGAUGGGCUCGCGGCCUAUCAGCUUGUUGGUGGGGUGAUGGCCCACCAAGGCUUUGACGGGUAGCCGGCCUGAGAGGGUGACCGGUCACAUUGGGACUGAGAUACGGCCCAGACUCCUACGGGAGGCAGCAGUGGGGAAUAUUGCACAAUGGGCGCAAGCCUGAUGCAGCGACGCCGCGUGAGGGAUGGAGGCCUUCGGGUUGUGAACCUCUUUCGCCCGUGGUCAAGCCGCGACGUGGGUCGUGGUGAGGGUAGUGGGUAAAGAAGCGCCGGCUAACUACGUG